Long non-coding RNA from Ipomoea triloba (trilobed morning glory), 1156 nucleotides. RefSeq lists it as uncharacterized. Lineage: Eukaryota; Viridiplantae; Streptophyta; Magnoliopsida; Solanales; Convolvulaceae. The transcript is spliced from 3 exons. The record is from RefSeq and is a predicted model, not a curated record.
AAGAUUCCAUAGUCUCACACAUGCAUGAAUAUAAUUAUUAGAUGGUGUACGGAAAUUUGGGCGUUAAAAUCAGCAUUUCAUCAUCUGAUGGUGGUGUAGAUUCAAAACGUGAAUUAUUAAUUAUUGCAUGUAAGUGAAUCCAUCUUUUCUUAUUCUUCUUCGGCGAAUGCAACAACCACCACCAACAACCACUGCCAACCGGUCACCACUUCGACGUUAGAGUAGCAAGGCGGCAGCGGCUGCAGAUCGGCAAGCAAAGCUGGAUGAAGGAGCUACACCAUAAUCUUCCCCUCCAUCAUCUUCCCACUCCAUUUUCCACGACCAAGAACACGAAUCACCUCCAUCCACAUCACAGCCACCAUUGUCCGCCACUAACAACUCCAACGAGUUGUGGCGUGGCUGGACCUCCUCCCCGAUAGGACGACAACCUUCGGCGAGCUGGCGGCGACCUCAUCUCCUUCCUGUUGGCGAGCAGUAGAUCAGGCAAGGAAACUAGGCGUUUGUUAGCGGCAGCGAAACGGUGACCUUGCGGCAAGGCUAUGCGACGACGACAAUAGUGGAUUCACUUAGUGAACGGCAGUGAUGUGAAGAACAGUCCGACAACGAGCAGGCGUAAACAGGGUGACGCGAACUGGUAGCUCUCCUCCUUCUGGCCGACAACUUUGGACCGAAAAUGAAGAAGAAAGAUGGUUUCGCUUUACAGUACUGGAUUUUGUCGGUGUCGGACGAAAGGGCUUGAGUGCAUCUUGCAUUGCAUAAUCAAAUCAUUGCCAUCGCUAGCUAGCUUCAUAUGUAGCUUAGCUUGCCUCAACUAAACAACAAAAGGUUAUUCCUAUCUAGUGAGUGGUAAUGUUCAUCAAAAUACCAUGUUGAUGGAUAUAUUAUAAAUGGACUCGAUAUUAAUCAACCCGUAAGAAAUCGGAUCCAAUCAGAGCCGACCUGGCCCAAGCCCAGUGCUCGACCGAGUGUUUUUUUUUUUGUGACUAACAAUUCAUUGUCUUUUCUAUUCUGUUACCUUUUGUCUUUAUUUUUUUUAUUAUUUAUCAUUUGAUUAUUUAGUUAUUUGAGUCGGAUCACUCGGGUUAAUAUAAUUCAUCACAUUUUUUUUUAGCUUUAUAAUAUAUAGUUAAUGAUAAAUAUUGACACUUAGCUUGGA